RNA transcript from Xenia sp. Carnegie-2017, 2551 nucleotides. It is a transcript of the gene named myotubularin-related protein 5-like, with no coding region annotated. The record is from RefSeq and is a predicted model, not a curated record. NCBI's taxonomy places the organism in Eukaryota, Metazoa, Cnidaria, Anthozoa, Malacalcyonacea, Xeniidae. The transcript is spliced from 15 exons.
UCAGCUUGCCAAAAUCAAUGAUAUUGAUAACAGUGAUUGAUACAUAUUAUAUCUACCAUGGUCUCUUACACUGCGAGUAUUGAUAUUCUGCUCUAUACUAAGUCGAAGUUUCAGUUGUUUGAAUAUUCAAGAAGGUAUUUCCAUCGAAUUUUUAAGCUGAAGAAGCUUGUGAACGCUUUUUGGUGCAAGAUAGAGCUUGAACAAGCAAAAUUGGAAUAGUGACGAAGAGUAUGAUCUUGUGAUUUUUCAGAAUUGCCUUUUCCGCAGAGUCAGAAUGACAUAUAAUGCUUUGUGCAUCAGUAAGGGUGAUGGAUCCCUUGUGGUACAAAAUGCGCUGGUUAUUGAAAACUUGAAUUUAACUCCGUAUUGUGAAGACUAUAAAAGACUUGGCUUUGGCUCUGUACUUGAGGAACGUAUAGGGAGUAAAAGUGGAUCUUGGAGGCUUUCUAUUGUCAAUCUUUCGUACGCAGCCUGUCGAAGUUACCCGGCUGUUUUAGUGGUGCCACAACACGUGACCGAUGACUCUUUGUUGCACGUGUCUAAAAACCAUCGCCAUAUGCGUUUUCCUGUUGCGACGUGGAGACAUAAAAUCAAUAAAUUCGCCGUUUUAUUGCGAUCUUCUGCCAUUGAACGAAGCUCUGUCGCAUCCAUCAAUCGCUCUGGUGAAGCUGCAAGUUGUGGAAGCGCUGACGCAAUACGUUCAUUCAACUUGGAGCAAGAUAAAUAUUUAUCUGCCGUUGAUUUUAAGUGUCUUCAAAUCCUGUGUCGUGGAAUAAAGCGGAGACGAAACAUCGUUCACUGGCAGCCAACGUCAACAUGUCUAAAGCAACGAUGAAUCUACCAUCAAAUGACAAUGCAUCUAUAAGUGUUUCUGUUGUGGAUUCCGUUGACAAAGCAAUAACUGAGCAAUGAUGAGAGCCUGCUGCACUGUACGUUUUUUAAUCUUUCUUGGUGAGACGUCAUUUGCUCAAGUACUGUUAGAUCCAUACUACCAAACGAUUAAUGGUUUUAAAGUUUUUGUUGAAAAAGAAUGGUUGAACUUUGAACAUUGCUUCUCACAUCGCUGUAAUCAUACACAUUCAACGCAAUCAAGUGAAUUCACGCAUGUUUUCUUGCAAUUUCUUGAUGGCGUCCAUCAGAUAUUACGUCAGUAUCCACUAUUCUUCGAAUUCAACGAGUAUUAUUUACAUUUCCUCGCCUAUCAUCAUGUCUCCAUGUGUUUUCGUACGUUUUUACUGGAUUCAGAGCACGAACGUGUGCAGAUGGGUUGGCUAUCAGAUGCUGAAAAGAAAGAUGCAAAGACUUCUAAAUCUCACAUAAAAAGUCUUUGGGAUUACAUCGACAUGCUACACAAAAAAUCAUUAUUUUAUAAUUUCAAGUUUUCGAAAGAACAUUCUGAAAAGGUGCUUCGUCCUCACUGCAAAGUUUGCAAUCUAAAAUUAUGGAGUUAUUUUGUUUCGGAGAAUGUCUCCACUGGUCCAGAGUUUGAUCAAGAAGUCAUAAAUGACGCAGAAACUGCUGCCGAGGAAGGACAACAGAAGUUAGAAGACAAGUAUGAAGCCAACAGACGCUGUCGAAGUGGUAUGUUUUGUGGAUCGGUUCAUUACGACAGUAGUAGCUGCGCAUAUCAUUUGUACGAAUAUAAUCGCAUCGAAGAAGAGGCUUACAAACACGCAACUCGUUGGAAAAAAAUAUGGGAGCGUUUGGAACAGCCUAAAAUAACGAAAACGUGUUUAACAUACAACGAAGAACUUUCCAGAGUCCGUAGUGGUGUACUACACAAACGAGAUACGAUGGACAUAAUACUUGAGGGAAAACUUCAAAUCGAAGACUACAGUAACCAAGGUUUUUCACGACCUCAUUCAUUUGAACCUCACAGCUUCUUUACGCCAACCAACUGCGAUUUCUGUCUACAAGUGAUAUGGAAUAUUGGAAAAGGAGGAUUCAGAUGUACAGAAUGUGGAUACAACUGCCACGAGAAAUGCUUAUCACUUGUUCCUAAAACGUGUCCUAAUUACAAAAAUCUAAAAGACCAGAAUGAUAGCAUGCCAUCAACUAGUAACAAAAGCUUACAUGAGUCUCCAAGUAAAAACAAAUCUUUGAAAUUUUUAUGUGGGUAUCUAUGGAAACGAGGUGCUUUAUUCAAACAAUGGAAGCAACGGUAUUUUGUAUUGGGUACGGAAAGACAUCAGCUUCGUUACUAUGAUGAAGUAAGCGAUGUUCAUUGUCAAGGUGUUGUCAACUAAUGUGAAAUUAUUUCAUGUGAAAUGUCACAGUUGAAUUCAAACGAGAAGCAAGUUUUUUUCGACCUUCGUACAGAGAAACUAUUGUAUAAUUUGUAUGCUGCGACGGAGGAAGAAGCCAAAAAAUGGAUAUCUAAAUUACAAAGCUGGGAUACGUAGAGCUUCGACGGUCCAAUCAGGAAUUUCAUUAUAAUCAAAAGAAAUGUUGUGCAUAUGUGAGAUAUUUUAACAUUUUAGUACACAUAUUUAGGGUAAUUUAUGUAUGUAUUUUAAUUUUUUUAAAUAAUAGUAUCAUUUUGAGACACGCA